RNAcentral lists this ribosomal RNA (476 nucleotides) under uncultured bacterium. RNAcentral's name for it is "SSU rRNA". It matches the Rfam family "Bacterial small subunit ribosomal RNA", at positions 26 to 521 of the family's 1533-position model. The record is from RNAcentral.
AGGACGAACGCUGGCGGCGUGCUUAACACAUGCAAGUCGAACGGAAAGGCCCUUCGGGGUACUCGAGUGGCGAACGGGUGAGUAACACGUGGGUGAUCUGCCCUGCACUUUGGGAUAAGCCUGGGAAACUGGGUCUAAUACCGAAUAUGACCAUGGGAUGCAUGUUUCGUGGUGGAAAGCUUUUGCGGUGUGGGAUGGGCCCGCGGCCUAUCAGCUUGUUGGUGGGGUGAUGGCCUACCAAGGCGACGACGGGUAGCCGGCCUGAGAGGGUGUCCGGCCACACUGGGACUGAGAUACGGCCCAGACUCCUACGGGAGGCAGCAGUGGGGAAUAUUGCACAAUGGGCGCAAGCCUGAUGCAGCGACGCCGCGUGGGGGAUGACGGCCUUCGGGUUGUAACCCUUUCAGCACAGACGAAGCGCAAGUGACGGUAUGUGCAGAAGAAGCACCGGCCAACUACGUGCCAGCAGCCGCGGU